RNAcentral lists this long non-coding RNA (1015 nucleotides) under Solanum tuberosum (potato). RNAcentral's name for it is "long non-coding RNA (STUB_LNC005394)". The record is from RNAcentral. Lineage: Eukaryota; Viridiplantae; Streptophyta; Magnoliopsida; Solanales; Solanaceae.
ACAUCUCCUGAUGAAGAGAUAGUUAAAAGGUAUCCUCUCUUCCAGGUACAGAUUAUAUUUUCUUUCUUUCCUUUUUUUAGUUACAUCAUAAAAUUGAUUCAUCUUUUUUGUUCUUUUUGUAUAUGAAAGGGAUAAAAUCAAUUUCAAUUAAUAGUAUAGAAAAGAUACUUGCUGUGAGUGGAGAUGUGGAUGCUGAUGAAGUUCGAUUGGUUGUGGGCAAACUAAGCAAGCGUGACAUGCUGUAACGAAAUGCUGAGCUCUGGUAAACUCAGCCAUGAUGGAUUUCCAGAAAAUGACAAGGUUAUAGUCCCAUUGUAAUUUGUUCAAAUUCAACUCAAAACGCCCAUUUAUCAGCUCUAACUGAUGACUACAUCUGCAAAGUUAAUGGUUUUGUUGAUGUUUUUCAAAGCAAGGUUGAGGAACUAGUUACUUAAGCUAGGACCUAAGACUCUUACCCAUUUUCAACUGUGAUUUUUGUUGUAUGGAAAAAUGGACAUUUUUAAGGCAGUUCUCACAAAAAGUUAUAAAUAUUUUUAUAAAAAGAAAAAAAACAGUUGUAAUUAUUUAUUGGCCGUAAACUAAAAUCUGUAUUAUAUGUUAUGUCUGCUUUACUUCUGUAUUUUGAACUGCUUUGAUAUGCAUUACUUGAGCUGAGGAUCAUUUGGAAACAGUGCAUCUACCUCUAUGUAAGGGUAAUAAGAUUUGCACACACUAUACCUACCGCAGACCCGUAUCUGUGAGAUCACAUUGGGUAUGGUGUUGGUUGUGAUCUUAAACUAAAAUGUGUAUUCCUGGAGCUAAAAAUUUGACACCAAAAGGAGAAAGAUCAUAACUUUGUGGGAUCGUUUGUUUAUGUAAGUUUUGUAGCUCUAAAUAUUCUGGAGUCUGGACAACGAUAACUAUAUUUUUUGAUCUAUUAAGUCAUUGAGUUUUUCUUUAACAGGGUAUGCAGAGUUUGUAGCUGGAGCAAUUUGGAACAUCACAUGUAAUUUCUUUAUGAGUUGUUUCUUUUAAU